AUUGAACGCUGGCGGCAGGCCUAACACAUGCAAGUCGAACGGUAACAGGAAGAAGCUUGCUUCUUUGCUGACGAGUGGCGGACGGGUGAGUAAUGUCUGGGAAACUGCCUGAUGGAGGGGGAUAACUACUGGAAACGGUAGCUAAUACCGCAUAACGUCGCAAGACCAAAGAGGGGGACCUUCGGGCCUCUUGCCAUCGGAUGUUCCCAGAUGGGAUUAGCUAGUAGGUGGGGUAACGGCUCACCUAGGCGACGAUCCCUAGCUGGUCUGAGAGGAUGACCAGCCACACUGGAACUGAGACACGGUCCAGACUCCUACGGGAGGCAGCAGUGGGGAAUAUUGCACAAUGGGCGCAAGCCUGAUGCAGCCAUGCCGCGUGUAUGAAGAAGGCCUUCGGGUUGUAAAGUACUUUCAGCGGGGAGGAAGGGAGUAAAGUUAAUACCUUUGCUCAUUGACGUUACCCGCAGAAGAAGCACCGGCUAACUCCGUG
This 490-nucleotide ribosomal RNA is filed under the name uncultured bacterium. RNAcentral's name for it is "partial 16S ribosomal RNA". It matches the Rfam family "Bacterial small subunit ribosomal RNA", at positions 30 to 507 of the family's 1533-position model. The record is from RNAcentral.